CCCCAUGUCAGAUUUGCUCUAAAUGCUUCCGUUUUUGAGAUAUAAGCCAAAAACUGCAUUUGACCCCUAUGUUCUAUUUUAAGUAACGGCGGCCAUGUUUUUUGACGGAUCAAAAAUCGAAGCACACACUUUGUGCAGGAUAAUCUAAGGAACAAUCAUGCUAAGUUUCAUCCAAAUCCAUUAGUAGUUUCAGAGGAGAAGAUUUUUUAAAGUUAGCAAAUAUGAUGAACAAAUUGUGAAAAAUUGUCAUUAAAGGACAUUUACCCCUUAAGGGGUCAAUUGACAAUUUUGGUCAUAUUAACCUAUUUGUAGAUCUUACUUUGCUGAUCAUUUUGCUGUUUACAGUUUAUCUUUAUCUAUAAUGAUAUUCAAGAUAAUGACCAAAAACUGCAAAAUUUCCUUAAAAUUACCAAUUAAGUGGCAGCAACCCAACAAUGGUUUGUUUGAUUUGUCUGAAAAUUUCAGGGCUGAUAGAUCUUGACCUAAUGAACAUUUUUACCCCAUGUCAGAUUUGCUCUAAAUGCUUUCGUUUUUGAGAUAUAAGCCAAAAACUGCAUUUGACCCCUAUGUUCUAUUUAAAGUAAGGGCGGCCAUGUUUUUUGACGGAUCAAAAAUCGAAGCACACACUUUGUGCAGGAUAAUCUAAGGAACAAUCAUUUUAAGUUUCAU
This 669-nucleotide long non-coding RNA is filed under the name Mytilus galloprovincialis (Mediterranean mussel). The record is from RNAcentral. Lineage: Eukaryota; Metazoa; Mollusca; Bivalvia; Mytilida; Mytilidae.